Molecule: long non-coding RNA, 1676 nt
Filed under: Homo sapiens (human)
Lineage: Eukaryota; Metazoa; Chordata; Mammalia; Primates; Hominidae
Description: non-protein coding lnc-DBX1-6:2
Source: RNAcentral
CUCAGCUGGUGCACUAGUACCGCAGUCCCAGCACCUUGCCCGGAAUCCCGUCACCCCGCAGGAUGGGGCAGGGACAGGUCAUCUUCAAGCCAAGGGAAGAGCAGGUUCACUGCCACCCGCGAUCCCCUUUUCUUCCUGGAUCUUACAGCCAGGCUAGGGGGCGUCGAACCCAAUGGGGCCUUAGAUCAUUCCUUGUCCGGAACAGAAUCUCUGCGGAACCGCCAGACAGACACACAGCUGCUGCUGCGGAUACUGGCUUCUUGGGGCCAAGACCUCAACAUGCAGGACCUCACAUUUCCAGCGAUGCACACGUUUUUUGAGAACAUCCCGACCUUUCCUCCUCCCCAGGAAGAUGCUGCAGACGUGCCCGCCAUCCCAGGUCUCGAAGAGCUCUUAAGGCAAACCUCCGGCACCCGGGCCACACCCACCGGCCGGCCCACUCUCCUCGCGCAUCCCCCAACCUGCCGGCCUAAGGGGAAUGGUUCCCUUCCCUGGCCACAUGGUAGACCCUUCUCCCAUCCAGCCCUUUCUCCCACACCAUCCCGAAAGAACUAUUCAUCCAUCCUUCCAGAACAGUACCCCGGCAAACGGCAUCUCUCACCUGGGUAUCGAACCCGUUUUCCACCGAGCCGCUCUUCCGCAGCGGGAGCCCCUCCCCCGCUGGCUCCUGCAGCCCCUGCAGCACCUGCGAUUUCAGGGGGAUCUGGCUAGGAUAGGUGGUCUUGCUCACCUCCACCUUGCUUCCCAACUUCAGGUAGCAGGGCUGGGGGCCCGCCCGGGCCGGGGGCACGUGCAGGAUGGGCGCGGCGCUGUGCACGGGUUUGGGCAGUCCCGACUUCAUUUUGGAGGCGACCAGGAUGGCCGGCAUCUUCUCCCGGGGCUUGGGCUUUCCCAGCACGUCCCUGGCAGCGGCGGCGGGGGCGACCGCUAAAGGCAGCGCGGGUAGCAGAGCAGGCGCCGGGCCUUAGCCCACGAGGCGCCCACCACCAGCGGCUAAAAAAAAAAUCCCCAGGUCGGGGAACUCGAAGCAAUCGGGCGAGCGCGCCUUUGGGGUGCCGGGAUGGGAAUGGGGGACUGGCCACGGCGCUCAGCGGGUCCCACCUGGACGGAUGCUGCCGCCGGGUCUCACACCUCUCCUGGGUGGCCUUUCAAGAGCUCUGGGCGCUCAGGGGCUGCCGCCUCUUGCAAAUUUCCUCCUGGGAAACAGAGGCUUGGACGCCCAUAUUAACUUGUCACUGCAUCUCCGAAGUGAGGAGGCCCCUUUGGAAGAGACAGAGGCGGCGGCGACCCACGAGUCCCGUUCCGGAGGCUACGGGUCUGAGCCGGCGAGAGAAAGAGCGAGCAGCCAAGGAAGGAAAGGAGACAGCAGCGAAGGAAGGAGAGAAGAAGGGCGCAAGGGUCCCAAGACGUCUCCACCGAGAGGCAGCUGCCACCCUGCUCGCGAGCACCGCAGUGUCACCCGCGACGCAGCAGAGGUGCGGCAAGAGCCCCCGAAAGGUCUCUCUUGGGGUGACAGUCACCGCUGCCCAGAAGGCCCCCGGACUGAGAGCACCUUAGCGCCUGCGGGUCUGCACAUGCUCCGUGAGCUAGAUAGAGGCAAGGCUGUGGCCGUGGGGCGCGGGCGCCGGGACGCGCGGCUGGCGGGCCGGGCAGGGCUGCGCUCGGGAGCGGCCGCC